Long non-coding RNA from Pygocentrus nattereri (red-bellied piranha), 230 nucleotides. Lineage: Eukaryota; Metazoa; Chordata; Actinopteri; Characiformes; Serrasalmidae. The record is from Ensembl.
AUUAUGUUUUAAUUUAUUGUGAGCCUGUUUGUUUUUCUCCCUUCUUCCUCCUCUGUUCCCAGGGUGAGGCAGGUCAACCAGGACAAAAAGGAGAGAGAGGACUGACUGGGGCCAAAGGGGAUAUGGGAAUGCCAGGACCACCAGGAAGACCUGGCCCCCCAGGACCAACAGUAGGACAAAUGUUAAAUCAAUAAUUCAAGCAAGAAUCAAAUGCAGACAGUUUUUUUUUU